GAUGAACGCUGGCGGCGUGCCUAAUACAUGCAAGUCGAGCGAACGGACGAGAAGCUUGCUUCUCUGAUGUUAGCGGCGGACGGGUGAGUAACACGUGGAUAACCUACCUAUAAGACUGGGAUAACUUCGGGAAACCGUAGCUAAUACCGGAUAAUAUUUUGAACCGCAUGGUUCAAAAGUAAAAGACGGUCUUGCUGUCACUUAUAGAUGGAUCCGCGCUGCAUUAGAUAGUUGGUAAGGUAACGGCUUACCAAGGCAACGAUGCAUAGCCGACCUGAGAGGGUGAUCGGCCACACUGGAACUGAGACACGGUCCAGACUCCUACGGGAGGCAGCAGUAGGGAAUCUUCCGCAAUGGGCGAAAGCCUGACGGAGCAACGCCGCGUGAGUGAUGAAGGUCUUCGGAUCGUAAAACUCUGUUAUUAGGGAAGAACAUAUGUGUAAGUAACUGUGCACAUCUUGACGGUACCUAAUCAGAAAGCCACGGCUAACUACGUG
Molecule: ribosomal RNA, 497 nt
Filed under: uncultured bacterium
Lineage: Bacteria
Description: partial 16S ribosomal RNA
Rfam family: Bacterial small subunit ribosomal RNA
Source: RNAcentral